Long non-coding RNA from Echinops telfairi (small Madagascar hedgehog), 506 nucleotides. RefSeq lists it as uncharacterized. The transcript is spliced from 4 exons. Lineage: Eukaryota; Metazoa; Chordata; Mammalia; Afrosoricida; Tenrecidae. The record is from RefSeq and is a predicted model, not a curated record.
GGCUCUUUCUCUCGACACCCCACCUCGCCUUAAUGUACUCACAGUCUGUUCUCCAGGACACUGUUCCCAGCAUUGCGCCCCGGCACAAACCUAUUCUCCAGUGCACAAGAACACACCGCAGCCAGAUUGUCCCCGGAGUGUGAAGAUUCCAUUCGUGGAAUGGAUGGAUUCCACUCAUUCACCUACAACGCUGGCCUGCAACAUAGAGACAGCUUGGUGUCUGGACUCAGCCCACGGAGGUUGGAAUCCAAGUUCCACCCUUUUCUCUUUGUCUCACCUGGGCCGAAUGGAAUCCCUUUCAUGCCUGAAGAUGUCUUACGGGUCUCCCUAUCUCUGAAAAAAUAUGGAUGAACAUAAAAUUUCCUGUAUGCGUUGAGCUGUUUCUCGGAAGAAAGACGAAGCUUUCUACUCCUGCAAAGAGAUAUUUGUGAAAUGGAACAAUGCACAAUUUGAUACCAGCUAUAAAACAAGGAGUCUGAUGAUCCAUAGAUUCCUUUGGUCAAAAG